GUGGAAAUGAAAACAUACUUCCUGGGGAUGAUAAGGGGCCCACAGAGCCGUCUUUGUUGGUUUAAAUCCACCAAGACGAGCAGCUUGAAUCACAUGGGAUUCCCUUAUGAGUCCUCCAUAGAGGACUGUUUCACUGGCAUACAGGAACACCACUAAAACUUCCUGGAUGUAUUUUUGAGCUGAUUUUCUUCAGCUACUUUAUAAAUGGCUCAAAACCUCAGCCAUUUAAGGGAGGUUUCUUGGAGCGCCUGCUUGCGCUCUUCAGCAUGUGGGACGUGGACGUGUGGGAGCCUGCAGCAGAGCUGUACUUCACAGUGCUUAUUG
This is a long non-coding RNA of Hemibagrus wyckioides, 324 nucleotides long. RefSeq lists it as uncharacterized. The record is from RefSeq and is a predicted model, not a curated record. NCBI's taxonomy places the organism in Eukaryota, Metazoa, Chordata, Actinopteri, Siluriformes, Bagridae. The transcript is spliced from 4 exons.